GGAGUACAGUAUCUGCCCGGACCGGAGCAGAACUUGUCAGCAGGGCAGCAUGUCCGAUGGCACACCUGCACCCUGCUGACAUCACAAGCAGAAGAGCUGCUUGUGCUUGAAUUGUGACAUCAAGGAGCAAAACUGGCGUGGUCCACAAGGAGGGGAGCCACCCUGUCAGGGAGACCACAGAAUCGCAGCCAAAGGGAAAGGUGAGAAAGCAGUCAUCAGACCCCAAGAGGGCAACAACCCACAUGGCUCUUCCCGAAGUGCAGGAAGUUCCACGCCCAGACCAGGAGCAAGUCGCACCUCGAAACCUCCUCAAAGCCAGCUCCGGAUGCGUAACAGCGGCAGUCUCCACAUGUUUGAGGACCAAGUCCUCUGUCCCGUUUGCCUAGAGGUGUUCCAAGACCCAGUUACCACCGGCUGCAGCCACAACUUCUGCAUGACCUGCCUCCAAUGGGGGAGACGCA
This 461-nucleotide long non-coding RNA is filed under the name Heterocephalus glaber (naked mole-rat). Its description in RNAcentral is "lncRNA (ENSHGLG00000041600.1)". The record is from RNAcentral. Lineage: Eukaryota; Metazoa; Chordata; Mammalia; Rodentia; Bathyergidae.